AGAGUUUGAUCAUGGCUCAGAAUGAACGCUGGCGGCAUGCCUAACACAUGCAAGUCGAACGAAGGCUUCGGCCUUAGUGGCGCACGGGUGCGUAACGCGUGGGAAUCUGCCCUUGGGUUCGGAAUAACAGUGAGAAAUUACUGCUAAUACCGGAUGAUGUCGAAAGACCAAAGAUUUAUCGCCCGAGGAUGAGCCCGCGUAGGAUUAGCUAGUUGGUGAGGUAAGAGCUCACCAAGGCGACGAUCCUUAGCUGGUCUGAGAGGGUGAUCAGCCACACUGGGACUGAGACACGGCCCAGACUCCUACGGGAGGCAGCAGUGGGGAAUAUUGGACAAUGGGCGAAAGCCUGAUCCAGCAAUGCCGCGUGAGUGAUGAAGGCCUUAGGGUUGUAAAGCUCUUUUACCCGGGAUGAUAAUGACAGUACCGGGAGAAUAAGCCCCGGCUAACUCCGUGCCAGCAGCCGCGGUAAUACGGAGGGGGCUAGCGUUAUUCGGAAUUACUGGGCGUAAAGCGCACGUAGGCGGCUUUGUAAGUCAGAGGUGAAAGCCUGGAGCUCAACUCCAGAACUGCCUUUGAGACUGCAUCGCUUGAAUCCAGGAGAGGUGAGUGGAAUUCCGAGUGUAGAGGUGAAAUUCGUAGAUAUUCGGAAGAACACCAGUGGCGAAGGCGGCUCACUGGACUGGUAUUGACGCUGAGGUGC
RNAcentral lists this ribosomal RNA (700 nucleotides) under uncultured bacterium. Its description in RNAcentral is "bacterial SSU rRNA". It matches the Rfam family "Bacterial small subunit ribosomal RNA", at positions 8 to 754 of the family's 1533-position model. The record is from RNAcentral.